Molecule: ribosomal RNA, 490 nt
Filed under: uncultured bacterium
Lineage: Bacteria
Description: partial 16S ribosomal RNA
Rfam family: Bacterial small subunit ribosomal RNA
Source: RNAcentral
AGUGAACGCUGGCGGUAGGCCUAACACAUGCAAGUCGAACGGCAGCACAGUAAGAGCUUGCUCUUACGGGUGGCGAGUGGCGGACGGGUGAGGAAUACAUCGGAAUCUACUUUUUCGUGGGGGAUAACGUAGGGAAACUUACGCUAAUACCGCAUACGACCUACGGGUGAAAGCAGGGGAUCUUCGGACCUUGCGCGAUUGAAUGAGCCGAUGUCGGAUUAGCUAGUUGGCGGGGUAAGGCCCACCAAGGCGACGAUCCGUAGCUGGUCUGAGAGGAUGAUCAGCCACACUGGAACUGAGACACGGUCCAGACUCCUACGGGAGGCAGCAGUGGGGAAUAUUGGACAAUGGGCGCAAGCCUGAUCCAGCCAUACCGCGUGGGUGAAGAAGGCCUUCGGGUUGUAAAGCCCUUUUGUUGGGAAAGAAAAGCAGCAGGUUAAUACCCCGCUGUUCUGACGGUACCCAAAGAAUAAGCACCGGCUAACUUCGU